Triticum dicoccoides is the source of this 2645-nucleotide RNA transcript. RefSeq lists it as uncharacterized. Lineage: Eukaryota; Viridiplantae; Streptophyta; Magnoliopsida; Poales; Poaceae. The transcript has 6 exons. The record is from RefSeq and is a predicted model, not a curated record.
CUCUUCCUCUUCUCCCGCACUCGCGCCUCUCCUCUUCCUCCACGCCAUGGCUCCCCGCCCUCUUCCUCGCGCCGCCAUCUCUGCCUCCUCCCCUCCGGCCGCCACCUCUGCCUCCUCCCCCUCGUGCCGCUCCUCCUCCUACUGUAGGAUCCCAUCCCCCUCACACCCUUCCUCCUCCCCUCCUGUCAUUCCCCUCCCCUAACCCUAGAACUGACGAGGAGUCCGAGCCGCCGUCUGCUGCCGGCCCAAGGUCACCGAGGGGCACGGGCCACGACUCGCGCGGCCGCUGCACCCUGGCGUCGAGCCGCCAUCUGCUGCCGGCCAGAGGUCACCGAGGGGCACGGGCCACGACUCGCGCGGCCGCUGCACCCUGGCGUCGGGCCGCCAUCUACUGCCGGCCAGAGGUCAUCGAGGGGCACGGGCCACGACUCGCCCGGCCGCUGCACCCUGGCGACGCAGGGCCAAAGUUGACGGCUGCGCUUCAUCAUCACCCGAGAGGAGCUGCUACUGCUGCUGCUCGCCAUCAUCGGGAGGCUAGGACGCUGCUGCUGCUCCGCUCAUGGACAUGGAGCCUUCGUCCCUGCUCGCCAAGGUGAGCUCUCGCCCAUAUCCCAUCCUCCUAUUCUUCUUUUUCUCCUUCUCUGACCCCCGUCUCGUCUUCUCUCUGUUUUGUUGGUACAACGGCUAACGACGGCAACGCAUACAUCCAAGGGAAGCUUCGGCAAGGUCUGCACCUUCUUCACCCGUAGAGGAGCCUGCCAGAACACGCACCAUGGAAUUGGAAGAGGAGAGGAGAGGAGCGCAAAUGAAUUAAUGAAAGCAGAGGAAUUUAUUUCAAACCACAAGGUCCUUGAGUCAAAACAAAGCAAGAUUUACAGCUUCCCGCAGGAUUCAGUUCGCUACAACACUGUUGCCAUCAUUGUUGUGAUGAGCGCCUUGGCGCUGCUGCUUCCGUGUGGCGGUGCUGUUCAACGUCCGCUACAAAACCAACCAGGAUUGAGAACUACAAUCAACCCUAUAUCAGUGCUUUGUAUGAGUAUGAUGAUGGGAAAGACCUUAAUAUGAUUUUGAGGCUGACUGGUUUAGUUCUCCUUAUGAUGAUGUAAAAGAAAGCUUGCGUAUAGGCUCUGUAUUGUCAGAGAUAAAUAUGCGGAGGUGCCACAAUAAUUACUUUAUGUUACUUUAUUUCCAUGAACUUUUGUUACAGAAGAUUAAGCAUAUCUAUUGCAUUUAAUAGUGAACAUUCUAAAUAUGGCGACAUCCUGAUCAUUAGCCCUCGAAAUGAAUGGCUUCAAUGGGUGCAUGUGUGGCCAGGGGAUGGUCUGGUCCAUGCCUGGAAGAUAGGCUGAUUAGUUUUAGUUUUUUUUACUUGGUUUGGUUUGUUGUGCAUGCCAAUUGUUCAAUCUAGGAGAAUUUGUGAGUUCUGAUUCCAGCUGUUAGUUGGUUGGUCUGUAUAUGUUUUCUAAUAUAUGAAUCAUCUGCAGCAAGAACUAGGUAAUUACUUGGCUUACCAUGUCCCCAAUUUCCCCAAUUUCUAUUUGCCAAUCUUUUUAACACCUGCCCCAAGUGGUGGUUGAUGGGUCGAGAAAAUAAAUAAAUGCAUUCGAGUUCUCAUAUUUUUCUUCAGUAUUUGCUUACCAAAAUGAAUAUUUCAGCAAUGCUUUGAAAAUACCAUUCAAAUUUGUAGUCAAGCCAUGCUUUCUAUGAUUAUAAAAAGAUGACUUUGUUGGUUUUGUGUUUACAUAGAAAGAUCAAUGCCGAGAAGUUUAUUAUCCUAUUUGUUGAGUCAAUGAGAAAAUAUUACUUUUUACAUACUUAAUCUUAUAGUCUAUUUUCUCACGAGCAUGACACAAUAUGUACCAAGCCAAACCACUACUUGCAUACCGGAGAAACUUACAUGAUGUUGUAUGUGUGAAGUCAAUAUAUAUUGAUUGAUCCAGAGUCUGAGAUAGCAGGCUAAGAAGUAUGAUUACAUCAUUGUUAUCGCUCUAUUUAUGCCAUCACUUCAUGGUUUUUGGACUAUACACUUCAUGUUAGCCUCUUCAGAGCAUUGCCAUCACUUCAUGCAGGUAUGACGAGGAUUCAUCGUAAGGAAAGUUAGUCUGGCCUCAGAUUUUACAUGGUCUGAUGCCUAAACACCAAUGGAAUUGUUCAAGUCGUGCCCAGCGACGAUCAUUGCAGGCUCCAUUUGUUCCAUACCUGAUAGACAGCGAGCACGACUGACUUAAAAUUUCUAGUUCACUUUUCUGUUUCAAACAGGGCCCAGUGGUGCUAGAGGAGGCGUCGUUCUACUACAAAGCUCCGGUCAACAAGAACUUCUCCAAGAAAGGCCUAACCUCGCCAAACUUUGCUACACUUCACAUCAUGAGGGAACAAAGCAGAUGCGUCCAUCGCAAUACUCAAGCAAAUCAGAUGACAAGGUGUUUGGAGCAAGCUAAUCAUAGCCAACUACAUAGUUUAGUACUAUGUUGUAUUAAAGCAGUGUAAACAACUUAUAUGGCCUGCUUUUGGUAUAUCGUAUCAAACUUUGAUCUUUAGGUAUUUCAUGCUACAUUUUUUAACAAAUGCACCAAUGGUUUGUAACGAGAUUUGAUGUUUUGCAUUGGACCAUUACUGCUGUAAGUAAAUAUUAUCUUCUUCUUUUU